UGCAAGUCGAACGGUAGCACAGAGAGCUUGCUCUCGGGUGACGAGUGGCGGACGGGUGAGUAAUGUCUGGGAAACUGCCUGAUGGAGGGGGAUAACUACUGGAAACGGUAGCUAAUACCGCAUAACGUCGCAAGACCAAAGAGGGGGACCUUCGGGCCUCUUGCCAUCAGAUGUGCCCAGAUGGGAUUAGCUAGUAGGUGGGGUAACGGCUCACCUAGGCGACGAUCCCUAGCUGGUCUGAGAGGAUGACCAGCCACACUGGAACUGAGACACGGUCCAGACUCCUACGGGAGGCAGCAGUGGGGAAUAUUGCACAAUGGGCGCAAGCCUGAUGCAGCCAUGCCGCGUGUAUGAAGAAGGCUUUCGGGUUGUAAAGUACUUUCAGCGGGGAGGAAGGUGUUGUGGUUAAUAACCACAGCAAUUGACGUUACCCGCAGAAGAAGCACCGGCUAACUCCGUGCCAGCAGCCGCGGUAAUACGGAGGGUGCAAGCGUUAAUCGGAAUUACUGGGCGUAAAGCGCACGCAGGCGGUCUGUCAAGUCGGAUGUGAAAUCCCCGGGCUCAACCUGGGAACUGCAUUCGAAACUGGCAGGCUAGAGUCUUGUAGAGGGGGGUAGAAUUCCAGGUGUAGCGGUGAAAUGCGUAGAGAUCUGGAGGAAUACCGGUGGCGAAGGCGGCCCCCUGGACAAAGACUGACGCUCAGGUG
Molecule: ribosomal RNA, 706 nt
Filed under: uncultured bacterium
Lineage: Bacteria
Description: bacterial SSU rRNA
Rfam family: Bacterial small subunit ribosomal RNA
Source: RNAcentral